RNAcentral lists this ribosomal RNA (561 nucleotides) under uncultured bacterium. Its description in RNAcentral is "bacterial SSU rRNA". It matches the Rfam family "Bacterial small subunit ribosomal RNA", at positions 338 to 916 of the family's 1533-position model. The record is from RNAcentral.
CCUACGGGAGGCAGCAGUGGGGAAUCUUGCGCAAUGGGCGAAAGCCUGACGCAGCCAUGCCGCGUGAAUGAUGAAGGUCUUAGGAUUGUAAAAUUCUUUCACCGGGGACGAUAAUGACGGUACCCGGAGAAGAAGCCCCGGCUAACUUCGUGCCAGCAGCCGCGGUAAUACGAAGGGGGCUAGCGUUGCUCGGAAUUACUGGGCGUAAAGGGAGCGUAGGCGGAUAGUUUAGUCAGAGGUGAAAGCCCAGGGCUCAACCUUGGAAUUGCCUUUGAUACUGGCUAUCUUGAGUAUGGGAGAGGUUAGCGGAACUCCGAGUGUAGAGGUGAAAUUCGUAGAUAUUCGGAAGAACACCAGUGGCGAAGGCGGCUAACUGGCCCAUUACUGACGCUGAGGCUCGAAAGCGUGGGGAGCGAAACAGGAUUAGAUACCCUGGUAGUCCACGCCGUAAACGAUGAGUGCUAGUUGUCGGCAUGCAUGCAUGUCGGUGACGCAGCUAACGCAUUAAGCACUCCGCCUGGGGAGUACGGUCGCAAGAUUAAAACUCAAAGGAAUUGACGG